This 216-nucleotide ribosomal RNA is filed under the name Glomeromycotina sp. RNAcentral describes it as "partial small subunit ribosomal RNA". The stretch from base 40 to 216 matches the Rfam family "Eukaryotic small subunit ribosomal RNA", at positions 686 to 864 of the family's 1831-position model. Lineage: Eukaryota; Fungi; Glomeromycota. The record is from RNAcentral.
GGGUCAGUAGGUUGGUCGUGCCACCGGUACGUACUGGUCUCACUGAUUCCUCCUUCCUGAAGAACCGUAAUGCCAUUAAUUUGGUGUUGCGGGGAGACAGGACUGUUACUUUGAAAAAAUUAGAGUGUUUAAAGCAAGCUAACGCUUGAAUACAUUAGCAUGGGAUAAUGAAAUAGGACGAUCGAUCCUAUUUUGUUGGUUUCUAGGAUUGACGUA